GACUUCGUGGCGUAAUUGGUAGCGCGUGAGAUUCCAAUUAAUCAAAAACCGGUUAUCUCAAGGCUGAGAGUUCGAGUCUCUUCGAGGUCA
Molecule: non-coding RNA, 90 nt
Organism: Dioszegia hungarica
Lineage: Eukaryota; Fungi; Basidiomycota; Tremellomycetes; Tremellales; Bulleribasidiaceae
Source: the annotation of a RefSeq genome assembly